Molecule: small RNA, 1016 nt
Filed under: Pongo abelii (Sumatran orangutan)
Lineage: Eukaryota; Metazoa; Chordata; Mammalia; Primates; Hominidae
Description: retained intron
Source: RNAcentral
UCCCGGCCGAAGCUUCUGGGUAUUUCUAUUGCGCGAGGCAUUGUGGGUUGCUGGGUGGCCCGGUCUCGUAGAAGAGGGGAGAGUGGCGGGCCGCUGAAUAAGCUUCCAAAAUGAUGCCCACACCAGUUAUCCUAUUGAAAGAGGGGACUGAUAGCUCCCAAGGCAUCCCCCAGCUUGUGAGUAACAUCAGUGCCUGCCAGGUGAUUGCUGAGGCUGUAAGAACUACCCUGGGUCCCCGUGGCAUGGACAAGCUUAUUGUAGAUGGCAGAGGCAAAGCAACAAUUUCUAAUGAUGGGGCCACAAUUCUGAAACUUCUUGAUGUUGUCCAUCCUGCAGCAAAGACUUUGGUAGACAUUGCCAAAUCUCAAGAUGCUGAGGUGGGUGAUGGCACCACCUCAGUGACCUUGCUGGCUGCAGAGUUUCUGAAGCAGGUGAAACCCUAUGUGGAGGAAGGUUUACACCCCCAGAUCAUCAUUCGAGCUUUCCGCACAGCCACCCAGCUGGCAGUUAACAAGAUCAAAGAGAUUGCUGUGACCGUGAAGAAGGCAGAUAAAGUGUAAGUCUGUAGUGGGCUUUUUUUUUUUUUUAAAGAGACAGAGCCUCGCUGUAUUGCCCAGGCUAGUCUUGAACUACUGGCUCAAGUGAUCUCCCACCUGCGACUCCCAAAGUGCUGGGAUUACAGGUGCGAGUCACCAUGUCAGGCCUUUGUCAGAACCUUGACUGACUUCCUGUGGCCAAAUUGGAUGCAGAAGCAUGCUGCAAUCCCUCUAUGUGCCUGGGGCUGUUUGGCUCAUGCCAGACCCUUGGCUGUGUCCCAGCCCACAGAGCACAAAAGAAGCUGUCGACUGUAGUUUAAAAGCUGCCACAUAUGAGAUCUUUGACUGCAGUCUCCAUCUGUCACUGAUAAUCUGCCCUAAAGAUACAGAAGGUGAAGUUGGAGAAGGCUGAGUUUAGAGAGUGGAAGGGAACUACCUCCACAUUGUAAUAGAAUCAGAUAAGAGGGAUUUGGUUUUCAA